RNAcentral lists this ribosomal RNA (495 nucleotides) under uncultured bacterium. RNAcentral describes it as "partial 16S ribosomal RNA". It matches the Rfam family "Bacterial small subunit ribosomal RNA", at positions 28 to 507 of the family's 1533-position model. The record is from RNAcentral.
GACGAACGCUGGCGGCGUGCCUAAUACAUGCAAGUAGAACGCUGAAGGAGGAGCUUGCUUCUCUGGAUGAGUUGCGAACGGGUGAGUAACGCGUAGGUAACCUGCCUGGUAGCGGGGGAUAACUAUUGGAAACGAUAGCUAAUACCGCAUAAGAGUAGAUGUUGCAUGACAUUUGCUUAAAAGGUGCAAUUGCAUCACUACCAGAUGGACCUGCGUUGUAUUAGCUAGUUGGUGGGGUAACGGCUCACCAAGGCGACGAUACAUAGCCGACCUGAGAGGGUGAUCGGCCACCCUGGGACUGGGACACGGCCCAGAAUCCUUCGGGAGGGAGCAGUAGGGAAUCUUCGGCAAUGGACGGAAGUCUUACCGAGCAACGCCGAGUGAGUGAAGAAGGUUUUCGGGUCGUAAAGCUCUGUUGUAAGAGAAGAACGAGUGUGAGAGUGGAAAGUUCACACUGUGACGGUAUCUUACCAGAAAGGGACGGCUAACUACGUG